AAAACUGGAUCAUUAUUCCUAACACAAAUUUCUCCUGCUAUUAUAUAUGAUCUUCUUUAAUAUUCAAAAGAAUGAAUAACAGAUGUUUCCAGUAAAGAAUAUUGGAGAAGGAUUACCUCAUGAUGACCAUGUGCUAGAUUCCUGUUUAAAAAUCCCUAUUUCCAGACCAUUUCAUAUGGAAAAACCACAUCAACAAGAAAAUUAGUUUCCUCAGAAGAGAGGGUUAUAUCCAACAGGAGACAACGCCAAAGAACUGCAAAGAUGAUAAGAAGGUAGGGAAACCUCUAUUUUGAAACUCUUGAAAUGUAUGUUGGUCAUCACUAUAUAGAGAAAGUAGUUGUCUGGGACACAUGA
Molecule: long non-coding RNA, 354 nt
Filed under: Homo sapiens (human)
Lineage: Eukaryota; Metazoa; Chordata; Mammalia; Primates; Hominidae
Description: HSALNT0369338
Source: RNAcentral